AAUGAACGCUGGCGGCAUGCUUUACACAUGCAAGUCGAACGGUAACAGGCCGCAAGGUGCUGACGAGUGGCGAACGGGUGAGUAAUGCAUCGGAACGUGCCCAGUCGUGGGGGAUAACGCAGCGAAAGCUGCGCUAAUACCGCAUACGAUCUAAGGAUGAAAGCGGGGGACCGUAAGGCCUCGCGCGAUUGGAGCGGCCGAUGUCAGAUUAGGUAGUUGGUGGGGUAAAGGCUCACCAAGCCGACGAUCUGUAGCUGGUCUGAGAGGACGACCAGCCACACUGGGACUGAGACACGGCCCUGACUCCUACGGGAGGCAGCAGUGGGGAAUUUUGGACAAUGGGGGCAACCCUGAUCCAGCAAUGCCGCGUGCAGGAAGAAGGCCUUCGGGUUGUAAACUGCUUUUGUACGGAACGAAACGGCUCUGGUUAAUACCUGGGGCUAAUGACGGUACCGUAAGAAUAAGCACCGGCUAACUACGUGCCAGCAGCCGCCGUAA
RNAcentral lists this ribosomal RNA (498 nucleotides) under uncultured bacterium. RNAcentral's name for it is "partial 16S ribosomal RNA". It matches the Rfam family "Bacterial small subunit ribosomal RNA", at positions 29 to 523 of the family's 1533-position model. The record is from RNAcentral.